CUGGCUCAGUGGAAGGGAGGAGCAUUCAAUGCACAGGAAACAAACUGAUACCUUGUGAGACACGUCCACGGAGCUGUGGAAGUCGCUGCCACGAGGAGCUGCGGAAAACAAAACUGCAUCUGAGUGACAAAAGCCUUGAACAUCACCCCUCGUACGCUGCAGAUGUUGUGACCUAAGGAGAUCCAUAUGCUGCAAUUCCCACCCAGAACUCCACCGCUGACUAGAAGAUGGGAGGAAACCAGCUUUCUCAAAGCCAUAAAACAAGAAGCUUAGGAGAA
This is a long non-coding RNA of Grus americana (Whooping crane), 278 nucleotides long. RefSeq lists it as uncharacterized. NCBI's taxonomy places the organism in Eukaryota, Metazoa, Chordata, Aves, Gruiformes, Gruidae. The transcript is spliced from 3 exons. The record is from RefSeq and is a predicted model, not a curated record.